GACGAACGCUGGCGGCGUGCUUAACACAUGCAAGUCGAACGGUAAGGCCUUUCGGGGUACCCGAGUGGCGAACGGGUGAGUAACACGUGGGUGAUCUGCCCUGCACUUCGGGAUAAGCCCGGGAAACUGGGUCUAAUACCGGAUAGGACUGCGCGGUGCAUGCCGUGUGGUGGAAAGAUUUAUCGGUGCAGGAUGGGCCCGCGGCCUAUCAGCUUGUUGGUGGGGUAAUGGCCUACCAAGGCGACGACGGGUAGCCGGCCUGAGAGGGCGACCGGCCACACUGGGACUGAGACACGGCCCAGACUCCUACGGUAGGCAGCAGUGGGGAAUAUUGCACAAUGGGCGCAAGCCUGAUGCAGCGACGCCGCGUGAGGGAUGACGGCCUUCGGGUUGUAAACCUCUUUCAGCAGGGACGAAGCGUGAGUGACGGUACCUGCAGAAGAAGCACCGGCCAACUACGUG
RNAcentral lists this ribosomal RNA (462 nucleotides) under uncultured bacterium. RNAcentral describes it as "partial 16S ribosomal RNA". It matches the Rfam family "Bacterial small subunit ribosomal RNA", at positions 28 to 507 of the family's 1533-position model. The record is from RNAcentral.